RNAcentral lists this transfer RNA (74 nucleotides) under Clostridia bacterium. RNAcentral's name for it is "tRNA-Gly". It matches the Rfam family "tRNA". From Rfam's summary of the family: Transfer RNA (tRNA) molecules are approximately 80 nucleotides in length. Their secondary structure includes four short double-helical elements and three loops (D, anti-codon, and T loops). Further hydrogen bonds mediate the characteristic L-shaped molecular structure. tRNAs have two regions of fundamental functional importance: the anti-codon, which is responsible for specific mRNA codon recognition, and the 3' end, to which the tRNAs corresponding amino acid is attached (by aminoacyl-tRNA synthetases). tRNAs cope with the degeneracy of the genetic code in two manners: having more than one tRNA (with a specific anti-codon) for a particular amino acid; and 'wobble' base-pairing, i.e. permitting non-standard base-pairing at the 3rd anti-codon position. The record is from RNAcentral. Lineage: Bacteria; Bacillati; Bacillota; Clostridia.
GCGGGCAUAACUCAAUGGCAGAGUCCCGGCUUCCCAAGCCGGUUAUGCGGGUUCGAUCCCCGUUGCCCGCUCCA